AUUGAACGCUGGCGGCAGGCUUAACACAUGCAAGUCGAGCGGGGUGAUGGUGCUUGCACUAUCACUUAGCGGCGGACGGGUGAGUAAUGCUUAGGAAUCUGCCUAUUAGUGGGGGACAACAUCUCGAAAGGGAUGCUAAUACCGCAUACGUCCUACGGGAGAAAGCAGGGGAUCACUUGUGACCUUGCGCUAAUAGCUGAGCCUAAGUCGGAUUAGCUAGUUGGUGGGGUAAAGGCCUACCAAGGCGACGAUCUGUAGCGGGGCUGAGAGGAUGAUCCGCCACACUGGGAUGGAGACACGGACCAGACUCCUACGGGAGGCAGCAGUGGGGAAUAUUGGACAAUGGGGGGAACACUGAUCCAGCCAUGCCGCGUGUGUGAAGAAGGCCUUAUGGUUGUAAAGCACUUUAAGCGAGGAGGAGGCUACUAGUACUAAUACUACUGGAUAGUGGACGUUACUCGCAGAAUAAGCACCGGCUAACUCUGUGCCAGCAGCCGCCGUAA
This 503-nucleotide ribosomal RNA is filed under the name uncultured bacterium. RNAcentral's name for it is "partial 16S ribosomal RNA". It matches the Rfam family "Bacterial small subunit ribosomal RNA", at positions 30 to 523 of the family's 1533-position model. The record is from RNAcentral.